CCUACGGGGGGCAGCAGUGAGGAAUAUUGGUCAAUGGGCGGGAGCCUGAACCAGCCAAGUCGCGUGAGGGAAGACGGUCCUAUGGAUUGUAAACCUCUUUAGGCGGGGAGCAAUGCCGGGCACGCGUGCCCGGAGGGAGAGUACCCGCAGAAUAAGCAUCGGCUAACUGCGUGCCAGCGGCCGCGGUGAUACGGAGGAUGCGAGCGUUAUCCGGAUUUCUUGGGUUUAAGGGGUGCGUAGGCGGAUUUUUAAAUCGGAGGUAAAAUGUCCGGGCUCAACCAGGGCCGGCCGUUGAAACUGGGGAUCUUGAGUGGGCGAGAAGUAGGCGGAAUGCGUGGUGUAGCUGUGAAAUGCAUAGAUAUCACGCAGAACUCCGAUUGCGAAGGCAGCAUACCGGCGCCCGACUGACGCUGAGGCACGAAAGCGUGGGGAUCGAACAGGAUUAGAUACCCCUGUAGUC
Molecule: ribosomal RNA, 460 nt
Filed under: uncultured bacterium
Lineage: Bacteria
Description: partial 16S ribosomal RNA
Rfam family: Bacterial small subunit ribosomal RNA
Source: RNAcentral